GCGCACGGGUGAGUAACGCGUGAGAAUCUGGCUCCAGGUCGGGGAUAACAGUUGGAAACGACUGCUAAUACCGGAUGUGCCGAGAGGUGAAAGAUUUAUUGCCUGGAAAUGAGCUCGCGUCUGAUUAGCUAGUUGGUGGUGUAAGGGACCACCAAGGCGUCGAUCAGUAGCUGGUCUGAGAGGAUGAUCAGCCACACUGGGACUGAGACACGGCCCAGACUCCUACGGGAGGCAGCAGUGGGGAAUUUUCCGCAAUGGGCGAAAGCCUGACGGAGCAAUACCGCGUGAGGGAGGAAGGCUCUUGGGUCGUAAACCUCUUUUCUCAAGGAAGAAGAAAGUGACGGUACUUGAGGAAUAAGCAUCGGCUAACUCCGUGCCAGCAGCCGCGGUAAUACGGAGGAUGCAAGCGUUAUCCGGAAUGAUUGGGCGUAAAGGGUCUGCAGGUGGAACUGAAAGUCUGCUGUUAAAGAGUUUGGCUUAACCAAAUAAAAGCGGUGGAAACUACAGAACUAGAGUGCGGUAGGGGCAAAAGGAAUUCCUGGUGUAGCGGUGAAAUGCGUAGAUAUCAGGAAGAACACCGGUGGCGAAAGCGUUUUGCUAGACCGUAACUGACACUGAGGGACGAAAGCUAGGGGAGCGAAUGGGAUUAGAUACCCCAGUAGUCCUAGCCGUAAACGAUGGAUACUAGGCGUGGCUUGUAUCGACCCGAGCCGUGCCGGAGCUAACGCGUUAAGUAUCCCGCCUGGGGAGUACGCACGCAAGUGUGAAACUCAAAGGAAUUGACGGGGGCCCGCACAAGCGGUGGAGUAUGUGGUUUAAUUCGAUGCAACGCGAAGAACCUUACCAAGACUUGACAUCCUGCGAAUCCUGGUGAAAGCUGGGAGUGCCUUAGGGAGCGCAGAGACAGGUGGUGCAUGGCUGUCGUCAGCUCGUGUCGUGAGAUGUUGGGUUAAGUCCCGCAACGAGCGCAACCCUCGUUUUUAGUUGCCAGCAUUAAGUUGGGCACUCUAGAGAGACUGCCGGUGACAAACCGGAGGAAGGUGAGGAUGACGUCAAGUCAGCAUGCCCCUUACGUCUUGGGCUACACACGUACUACAAUGCUACGGACAGAGGGCAGCGAGCCAGGGAUGGCAAGCGAAUCCAGAAACCGUAGCUCAGUUCAGAUCGAAGGCUGCAACUCGCCUUCGUGAAGGAGGAAUCGCUAGUAAUUGCAGGUCAGCAUACUGCAGUGAAUUCGUUCCCGGGCCUUGUACACACCGCCCGUCACACCAUGGAAGUUGGUCACGCCCGAAGUCAUUACCCCAACCGAAAGGAGGGGGAUGCCUAAGGUAGGACUGGUGACUGGGGUGAAGUCGUAACAAGG
This 1363-nucleotide ribosomal RNA is filed under the name Cylindrospermopsis raciborskii. Its description in RNAcentral is "bacterial SSU rRNA". It matches the Rfam family "Bacterial small subunit ribosomal RNA". Lineage: Bacteria; Bacillati; Cyanobacteriota; Cyanophyceae; Nostocales; Aphanizomenonaceae. The record is from RNAcentral.